This 530-nucleotide ribosomal RNA is filed under the name uncultured archaeon. RNAcentral's name for it is "bacterial SSU rRNA". It matches the Rfam family "Archaeal small subunit ribosomal RNA", at positions 322 to 856 of the family's 1478-position model. The record is from RNAcentral.
CCUACGGGGCGCAGCAGGCGCGAAAACUUUACAAUGCGGGAAACCGUGAUAGGGGAACUCCGAGUGCCCGUAAAAUCGGGCUGUCCACCAGUUUAAAUAACUGGUGAAGAAAGGGCCGGGCAAGACCGGUGCCAGCCGCCGCGGUAAUACCGGCGGCUCGAGUGGUGGCCACUAUUACUGGGCUUAAAGCGUUCGUAGCUGGUUUGUUAAGUCUCUGGGGAAAUCUUCCGGCUUAACCGGAAGGCGUCUCAGGGAUACUGGCAGACUAGGGACCGGGAGAGGUGAGGGGUACUCCAGGGGUAGGAGUGAAAUCCUGUAAUCCUUGGGGGACCACCUGUGGCGAAGGCGCCUCACCAGAACGGCUCCGACAGUGAGGGACGAAAGCUGGGGGAGCAAACCGGAUUAGAUACCCGGGUAGUCCCAGCUGUAAACGAUGCGCGUUAGGUGUAUCAGUGACCACGAGUCACUGAGGUGCCGAAGAGAAAUCGUGAAACGUGCCGCCUGGGAAGUACGGUCGCAAGGCUGAAACU